UUAAGCCUGCUGUCUCAGUAUAAGCUUCUAUACGGCGAAACUGCGAAUGGCUCAUUAAAACAGUUAUAGUUUAUUUGGUGGUCAGCAAUUACAUGGAUAACCGUGGUAAUUCUAGAGCUAAUACAUGCGUCCAAACCCGACUUCGUGGAAGGGUUGUGUUUAUUAGAUACAGAACCAACCCAGGCUCCGCCUGGCCUUGAGGUGAUUCAUAAUAACCGAACGAAUCGCAUGGCUAUGCCGGCGAUAGACCAUUCAAGUUUCUGACCUAUCAGCUAUCGUCGGUAGGGUAUUGGCCUACCGUGGCAAUGACGGGUAACGGAGAAUUAGGGUUCGAUUCCGGAGAGGGAGCCUGAGAAACGGCUACCACAUCUAAGGAAGGCAGCAGGCGCGCAAAUUACCCAAUCCUGACGCAGGGAGGUAGUGACAAGAAAUAACAAUACAGGGCAUACAUGUCUUGUAAUUGGAAUGAGUAAACUUUAAAUCACUUUACGAGUAUCAAUUGGAGGG
RNAcentral lists this ribosomal RNA (507 nucleotides) under uncultured eukaryote. Its description in RNAcentral is "SSU rRNA". It matches the Rfam family "Eukaryotic small subunit ribosomal RNA", at positions 44 to 555 of the family's 1831-position model. The record is from RNAcentral.